CAAAGUAUGAAGCAAUUGCUGCAUUUGCUAAGGACCUUUUUGGUCUUUGGCUUUGUGUUGUUCUUUACGCUGUUGACCAGGAUCUUUAAACGCUGCCUGGAUGUCAGUCACUCGCUGGCCAUGUGAGGGGAGUAGGAGCAGGAGGAGGAGGAGCACCCCAGAACAGGUGAAACAGGAAUGUGUGUGCUUGUGUGAGUUACCGGGAACUUAUCGGCUGGACAAUCAAUAAUGCCCGUUGCCUUAUCGCCCUCGCACUAUUUUCUCUAAAUGGAAGUGAGACCUAUGAGUACAGUGGAGAUUGUAUGACAAGAGAAACCAUAACUACAAGCUACAAUUUAUGUUAAGAGUUCAAACUAAAAAGAACUCUAAACAACAACUCACACAACUCUUGAAUAAAAGUAAGAAAUACAACAGAAAAAUGGUA
Molecule: long non-coding RNA, 424 nt
Organism: Drosophila serrata
Lineage: Eukaryota; Metazoa; Arthropoda; Insecta; Diptera; Drosophilidae
Source: RefSeq, a predicted model, not a curated record